Molecule: long non-coding RNA, 1225 nt
Filed under: Numida meleagris (helmeted guineafowl)
Lineage: Eukaryota; Metazoa; Chordata; Aves; Galliformes; Numididae
Description: lncRNA (ENSNMEG00000018523.1)
Source: RNAcentral
ACCCACAAAGCCUGAGGAGAAAAGGGGCCUGGGAGCAGCUCUUUCUGCCUUGUCUUCUCUCGUGCCCACAGACAGCUAUAGCAACAGUUUUCACAGCGAUAUGGUUGUGCUUCAGGUGUAUGUGACUCAUCACAGGGGAAUUCUGUUGCUGGAUCAAUCCUUGACUUAGAAGCAGUGUUUUUGCUAUGCAUGCAUGCCUGCCAGGCAACAUUCACGCUGAUGGAAGGGCUCCACGCAGGUGGUACCUAUCUGCAUUUUUAUGCAAGCUGACAAUUAUUCCCAUUUCCAGCUGCUGAGUUACAAAUGACACACCUGGGAGCUGGGGUUAAGGUGUUCUGUGGAGCCUGUUGCCUUGGGAGCUGAUGGGAACCUGCACUGCUGGGCAAGGAGGAACAAAGCCACCAGGUCACCUGUCUGCCUGGGGAUGAUGCUAAAGAGGCUGACUUCCGCUGAGAGUCUGAGCAGAUUUCCAGGCACUGAGCAAAUUCCUCCCUGUGAGCUACAGCUGCCUGAGACAAGCCUCACUGCUGAUGCUUCCUCGCCAUGCUGCUGGACAACAACUUUGUUACCAAAACUCAGCCCAUUUUGAAAGUUGUCCACAGCACUAGGAAACCUUGAGGCACAGAGAGCUGAAUACCUGGGCUGCAGGUUGGUGUUUGAAAAUGAGAUGCCUGUUCCCAUCAGAGUAAAACUGAAGGCACGGUGUUACUCUCUGUCACAACGCCUAGGCUGAUCAUAGAAUCACUGAAUCAUUAAGGUUGGAAAAAACCUCUAAGAUCACCUAGUCCAACCGUCAACCCAUCGCUGCUGUACCCUGCAACCCCAUCUCUCAGUGCCACAUCUCCAGGGUUCUUGAACACCCCCAGGGAUGGUGACUCCACCACCUCCCUGGGCAGCCUGUGCCACUGCCUCACCACUUUUUCUGAGAAGAAGUUUUUCCUAAUAGCCAACCUCAACCUCCCCUGGUGAAACUUGAAGCUAUUACCCCUCAUCCUAUCACUGUUACCUGGGAGAAGAGGCCGACCCCCACCUUGCUAUAACCUCCUUUCAGGCAGUUGUAGAGAGCACUAAGAUCUUCUCUGAGCCUCCUCUUCUCUAGACUAAACAAUCCCAGUUCUCUUAGCUGCUCCUCAUUAACAUUCUUUAGUUAUGAUUAGGGCAGGUUAAACUACUAGCUCUUCAGAUAUUUUGGUAAUACCAUGGAGAAGUUCAGGCUGACCAGCUC